This 403-nucleotide ribosomal RNA is filed under the name uncultured bacterium. Its description in RNAcentral is "bacterial SSU rRNA". It matches the Rfam family "Bacterial small subunit ribosomal RNA", at positions 355 to 774 of the family's 1533-position model. The record is from RNAcentral.
UAGGGAAUAUUGCAAAAUGGGCGAAAGCCCGAUGCAGCAACGCCGCGUGGGCGAUGAAGGCCUUCGGGUCGUAAAGCCCUUUUUGAGGGGAUGAGGAAGGACAGUACCCUCAGAAUAAGCCUCGGCUAACUACGUGCCAGCAGCCGCGGUAAAACGUAGGAGGCGAGCGUUAUCCGGAUUUACUGGGCGUAAAGCGCGUGCGGGCGGAUUAGAGAGUUGGAUGUGAAAGCUCCCGGCUUAACUGGGAGAGGUCGUUCAAUACUUCCAGUCUUGAGUGCAGUAGAGGGAAGUGGAAUUCCGGGUGUAGUGGUGAAAUGCGUAGAUAUCCGGAGGAACACCAGUGGCGAAAGCGGCUUCCUGGACUGUAACUGACGCUCAGACGCGAAAGCUAGGGUAGCAAACG